CUGUUCGAGCGUCAUUACAACCCUCAAGCUCAGCUUGGUAUUGGGGCGUGCCGGUAGACGGCAGCUCUUAAAAUCAGUGGCGGUGCUGUCAGGCCCUAAGCGUAGUAAUCUUUCUCGCUACAGGGUCCUGGAAGCAGUAGCAUCAACCCCCACUUUCUAUGGUUGACCUCGGAUCAGGUAGGGAUACCCGCUGAACUUAA
This 200-nucleotide unclassified non-coding RNA is filed under the name soil metagenome. RNAcentral's name for it is "partial contains internal transcribed spacer 2 and large subunit ribosomal RNA". The record is from RNAcentral.